UGGACGCUCAUUAAUGACAUCAAACUCAGAAGCGAAUGCAUUACCACUAAGCAAAAGUGGGCUGAAGUUGAGUGCUAAAGUGAUAGCUAAAGCUGCAAGACCCUGUUGAGCAUGAGUGAGUAAGGUUGUGCAUGAAGGAAGGGUUGGUGGUUUUAGUGAUAAAGUUUGAGUCUUUUUGAGAUUAGAAACAAUGGGUUUGUAGGAAAUGAGAGAAGUUGAUUUGGGUUGGAGGGAAGGUGAAGAUUUGAGGUUGAGGAGUGGUGAGAGAGAGUUGGGAGGAAAAAGGGUUGUCAUGAGGAAGAUGAGGGAGGGAGGGUUGGAGUGAGGAAAGGUGAAGUUGUUCUUGUUCCUCUGUUGCACAACAUUGUUCUCAUCAUGUUUUGUC
This 385-nucleotide long non-coding RNA is filed under the name Medicago truncatula (barrel medic). RNAcentral describes it as "long non-coding RNA (MTRU_LNC005990)". The record is from RNAcentral. Lineage: Eukaryota; Viridiplantae; Streptophyta; Magnoliopsida; Fabales; Fabaceae.